This 207-nucleotide ribosomal RNA is filed under the name uncultured bacterium. RNAcentral describes it as "partial 16S ribosomal RNA". It matches the Rfam family "Bacterial small subunit ribosomal RNA", at positions 568 to 774 of the family's 1533-position model. The record is from RNAcentral.
CACGUAGGCGGCCUGUUAAGUGUGGAGUGAAAUCCCACGGCUCACCCGUGGAACUGCUUCGCAUACUGGCAAGCUCGAGGACGGUAGGGGAGAGCGGAACUCUUGGUGGAGCGGUGAAAUGCGUAGACAUCAAGAGGAACACCGACGGCGAAGGCAGCUCUCUGGUCCGUUUCUGACGCUGAGGCUCGAAAGCAUGGGUAGCGAACG